Molecule: long non-coding RNA, 3207 nt
Organism: Macaca mulatta (Rhesus monkey)
Lineage: Eukaryota; Metazoa; Chordata; Mammalia; Primates; Cercopithecidae
Source: Ensembl
GACUCUGUCAAAAAAGAAGAAAAGAAAGAAAGAGAGAGAGAGAGGAAGGAAAGAAAGAAAAAGAAAGAAAGAAAGAAAGAAAGAAAGAAAGAAAGAAAGAGAAAGAAAGAAAAAGAAAGAAAGAAAGAAAGAAAAAGAAAGAAAGAAGAAAGAAAGAAAGGAAGGAAGGAAAGAAGGAAGGAAGGGAAGCAGGAAAGAGAAAGAGAAAGAAAGCAAGGGAAGGAGAGAGGAAGGAAGGGAGGGAGGGAGGGAGGAAGGAAGGAAGGAAGGAAGGAAGGAAGGAAGGAAGGGAGGAAGGGAAAGAGAAGGGAAGAGAAGAGAAAAAAGAAAAAUCCCCCAAAACAGAACAAAACAAACAAACAAACAAAAACCUAUACUUUAGUCCUUACUAGGUCAGAAACAGUGUCUGAAGCUCCACAAAAUCUAACAGAAGACAAGAAAGAAUCAGGUCUCAGACAGCAAACUAGAAUGACUUUCGCGGAGUCUUUGGGUCCAGAAAACAAGUAUACAUGAAUCUAUAAAUAAAGAAAUGAAAGAAAUACACAGCACCGAGAUCUGUUACAGCAGAAAGGAAAAGAAGGGUCCAUUAAAUUUUUGCUGUGAGGUAUGCAGUGGUAAUAACUCAUCUGCUCCCUGUGGUAAUAACAGCUCUGUUGCCAACAUUCAAGAUUUUUUAAAAAUACUAUUUGUUGAAAAUGAAUUGUCUGAGUGUUAACCACCAGUAUUUUUCAAAUAGUAGUGUUUUAUUUCCAGUUAAAUUAUCUUGUUAAUUUUUCCUAUCAGCAUAGCAGUGCAGUGGCUACUACUAUUCUUUCCCAAAUUGGAAAAAUGAAUAACCCAGAUACUCUUUUAAAAAUAUUCAUUUCAAUGUGUUUGCAGUAUUGAAAUAAAAUUUAAAAAUGCAAGUGACUCUAGAUGACUGAAAAUGUCUUCAAUAUAUGUAAACAAUUAACUUUAUUAGGAAAAUUAUCUUCAGUGUACAGAAACACAUGCAUGCAUAUUCACAUUCUAUGUUUAAUUUAACAUUUAAAUUCUAAUGUGUAAUAUAUAGACAUCCAACAGAUUUAUUUUGUUUUCCUUUUAUUUCACUCUCUCUGUCUGUUUCUCUCUCUUACUCAUUUUAUUUUUGUUUGUUUCUAUUAUCUGCUCUUCUAAAAAUUUUAAGUGAAACAGAAUAUUAUCUCAAUUUUUAAGUUGAGACCAUUGUACACCUGAUAUCAUGCAGUCAUUUUUAUUAAGAUCACUAAUAUAGAUGGAUCUUGGUUGUUCUUUGGGUUAUAGUAAUAAUUCUAUCAGUGAAAUCAAAACAACUAUUAAGCAGUCUAUGCACAAUUUAGAAUUUACUCUUUCCAUAUAAUUUUAAAAUACAGAAAAGUCAACCAUACUUGAUAUAAUUUUAAGCAUCUAAUCCUAGAAAAUUAGCAAAAUAAUAUACAAAAAUUCAGAAAGAAUUGAUGUAUGUUUACCAUUGCAAAAUAUGAAAUUAAUAUAUGGCUUUUUCUUUUUUUAUUUCUGAUUAAAUUAUAGCUGAAUUUUUAUAUUCCACACAAAUAGAUAAAAAUAAUAAGUGAAAAGGGAAUUUGCUGAUAGUAUUAACACCUUAUCUGAAGAUUUAACUCUUGCUGCUGGUUCUUCAUCUUUUCAUGUAGGUACAUUAUUUACCACGUAACAUUGCAGUUCCUCCCACAGUUUCAGAGGACACUGUUCUCUAUCUGGUUUUAGGUUUAGCCAAGUGAUUUGAUUUGCCAAAUGGGGUGGGUGUGACAUAAGGAGAACCUUAAGAUGUGCUUGUGCAAUGGGAUUUUUCUUUUGUGUUUUUAACAUAACCAUGAGAAGAGAUUUCCUCUUCUAUCAGUUGCAUCUUCAGCUUGGACCUAAGAAUAAUUUCUUGUGGCACAUAGCCUAAAGAGUCUGAAGAAAAAAAAAAAAAAACCAGAAAAUCUGAAUAGAACUACAAGGAAUAAAGAUAUUGGAUACAUAAUUAAAUACCUAUAAAAAAAUAAAAUGCCAAGGCUAGAUGGUUUCACUGGAAAAUUCCACCAAAUAUUUAAAGAAAGAUUAAUAUCUAUUAAUCUCAAAUUCUUCCAAGAAGUAGAAGAGAAGGGAAUACUAGUUAACUUAUCCUAUGAGGCUGGUAUUACAAGGACAUCAGAAUAAGACACCUGCUUUCACCGCUUUUACUUAACAUAAUACUAGCAGUGCUGCCUAAAAUAUGACAAGAAAAAAAAGAAAACAAAAAAACAGCAUCCAAACACAAAAGGUAAAAGGAAUGGUAUUUUCUAGAUAACAUGAGUCUAUACAUAGACCAUAUUAAAGAAUCCAGACAUACCCAAAAACUGUUGGAGGUAACAAGUGAAGUAUCAAAGUUGCAAGAUACAAGAUCAAUACUCAAAAAAUUAUUUGCUUUACCAUAAAUUACCAAUCAAUGAUUAGAAAAGAAAAUUAAGAAAAUAAUUAUAUUUAUAAUAGCAUCACAAAUGAUAAAAUACUGGAGACUAAUUUAAUCAAGAUGGUACAAGACCCUACACUAAAAACCACAAAUCAUUGCUGAAAUUAAAGUAAAUCUAAACAAAUAAAAAUAUGUUCCAUAUCCAUUGGCUGCAUGACAGCAUUUUCAAGAUGGCAAUGUUCCCUAAAGCAGUCUAUACAUUCAAAGCAAAAAUUUUUAAAUAUCUGCACAAAAAUGCAAAAUUUCUGCAAAAAUUUAUCUUUUUGAAACAGAAACAGAAAUCCUAAUAUUUUCAUAAAAUUAAAAGGGCCCAGAAUAGCCAAAAUAAUACUGAAAAUAACAAAGUUAGAGAAUUCACAUUUCUCAAUUUUAAAAUUUACUACAAAUCUACCUUAAUCAAAACAGUGUGCUAUUGGCAUAAGGCUAGACAUAAGAAUCAAUGAAAUAAAUUGACUAUUGAGAAAUCAAUACAUACAUCUAUAGUAAAUUUACUUUUGUCAAGGGCUCUGAGACCACAAAAUAGGGAAAAGAUAUAUCUUCAACAAAUUAUGUUAUGAUAACUGAUAUUCACUUGCCAAACAAAAAAAUUACCCUAUACCAUAUAGAAAAACAUAACUAAAAAUUGAUAAAAAAUCUAGAUAUGUACUAAAACUAUGAAACUCUUAGAAAUGUAAAUAUGAUUACAUUUUAAGGACCUUGGAUUUGUUAAGAGAUUCUUAGAUAUGACACCAAAUGUACAAUAAACAGUAUAUUAAAAU